This is a long non-coding RNA of Orcinus orca (killer whale), 373 nucleotides long. RefSeq lists it as uncharacterized. The transcript has 3 exons. The record is from RefSeq and is a predicted model, not a curated record. NCBI's taxonomy places the organism in Eukaryota, Metazoa, Chordata, Mammalia, Artiodactyla, Delphinidae.
GCCAUGAUGACGCGCCGGGGUGGCUGUGAGGAGCCUGAUUCCCGUGGCUCGCUGGCCCCGAGAGGGGGUGUUUGAGGGGACGUUCCUAGCAGCUGCCGAAACCGUUUGUUUCGGGGAUCCUCCCUGUUUCUCCCCUGCUUGGCACUGGCGGCCAACGUAUGCUGUUCCUUGGUGGAACGGAAACGUGCAUCUGGACGAGCCGACGAGCUUCAAGACCAAAUAAAAUCUUUGGACUCCUGGCCUAGUAUACAAGGAACUGCAAAGAGUACAGAGUUUCCAGAGCAAGAAGCUUGUGAGGCCAGGCUGGAGAGUGAGGCCGGGACCAGAUGACCGGGCCAUGCUUGUCAAGCUCCAGCAGUUCCAGCCAGGCCGG